CGAGCACCUUCUGUUUCAAGUGCUUUUCUUUAGAUAAAUGGGAGUUGGUGAGGUGUGUUCAUCAAUGCCUCCCACCUCCUUUUCUCACCUUGCUAGACUAUCUCCAACAAAAAUAACAAAUUAACUAACUAAAAAUACGACGAAGCUAUCCAAAAUUCUAACUUAACCACCUUCUAAAAAAUCUCUAAUCAUCUUGUAAUUGUUUGCAGGAAGUCUCGUUGUUAGAAUAAUUUUCCUGCCAUUUGAGGAGAGUUCUUAUGCUACAUUCACCCAAUUAGCAUCAGGUUGCUCUUUUGCAUGAAUAUAAAGUUUCAUUUUACCAUGAUAGCUAAGUACAAUUGCUUAUCAUCUGUUUGGCAUGAAAGAUUGAAUUUCAUGCAUUUGCAUCAUUGCGGUCUACUGAUCUAGAAAAUCUGUAUGUAAGUUUUGUCUAUUGAGCAUCUCUCUACUUGAUUAGUCAAAGGUGGUUAACCUAUGUUGUGCUGUUAUCUGUUAAUUAGCUGAAGGAUGAUUUAAGAAAUUAUUAUGGUUUAAGAAAUUCGUAUGUUGAUUAGCUGAAGGAUGAUUUAAGAAAUUAUUAUGGUGGUCACGGGGACAUCAUGCAAGAGGUAAUUGGUUUCAACUGCCAUUUAUCGGACUGUAUCUAUUAUUUCAUACGAAUCCAUAUUGUAUAUGACGACCAAUAGAUUAUGCCCAUUCUGUAGUUUGUCUAUCUUGUUAUUGUGUUGUUUUUCUUGUGUUUUUCUAAUGAUUUUGUAGUCAUAAUUCUGAUUGUGUUGUUUGCAAAUCUGUGUUUAUUUUUUUAGGUUGUCUUAUAGCCUUCAACACGCGGAUUGUGCUGGAGCAGUUUUCUAUUCGAUCAUGAGGGGUGCAUUAGUGGCUGCACAAUCUACUAAUGAUAGUCUUCUAAAGAAAACUGCCGACGCACUUACCAAGUGGAAGGAUCUUUUACGCAAUUACACCAAGACGGUUGAUGAGGAGGACACACUCUUGGAAGGGCCUUUGCUGUGGUUGUGAAGUUUUAGGUCCAGUUUGAAAACAGGGGUUUCCCAUGUAUUUUUACGAAAGAAAGAAACAUUGAUCUCAUUUCUUCUUUCUCUAUGGAAUUUCUGUGUUAUUUUUUGACUGAUUUUUUUUUCAUUUGAUAUAAAUGAAUUGUUUGGUGAUGGUGAUGCAGAUGGAAAUACUAUUGAAGUUUGAGGAAAUGUGUCAAUAUAUCACAAAAGAAUUUCUCCACUAUUUUCAAAGAUCUUGCCUUACCUCUAUGAUAAGGAGGUAGUCAGUGAAGAUGCAAUUUUGAGAUGGGCGGAAGAAAAA
Hordeum vulgare subsp. vulgare (domesticated barley) is the source of this 1317-nucleotide RNA transcript. RefSeq lists it as uncharacterized. The transcript has 4 exons. Lineage: Eukaryota; Viridiplantae; Streptophyta; Magnoliopsida; Poales; Poaceae. The record is from RefSeq and is a predicted model, not a curated record.